Molecule: ribosomal RNA, 721 nt
Filed under: uncultured bacterium
Lineage: Bacteria
Description: bacterial SSU rRNA
Rfam family: Bacterial small subunit ribosomal RNA
Source: RNAcentral
AGUGAACGCUGGCGGCGUGUCUAAUACAUGCAAGUCGAACGGAGUAUUAAGAGAGCUUGCUCUUUUAAUACUUAGUGGCGCACGGGUGAGUAAUGUAUAGUUAAUCUGCCCUACACUGGAGGACAACAGUUAGAAAUGACUGCUAAUACUCCAUACAUCCUUCUUAACAUAAGUUAAGUCGGGAAAGUUUUUCGGUGUAGGAUGAGACUAUAUUGUAUCAGCUAGUUGGUAAGGUAAUGGCUUACCAAGGCUUUGACGCAUAACUGGUCUGAGAGGAUGAUCAGUCACACUGGAACUGAGACACGGUCCAGACUCCUACGGGAGGCAGCAGUAGGGAAUAUUGCUCAAUGGGGGAAACCCUGAAGCAGCAACGCCGCGUGGAGGAUGACACUUUUCGGAGCGUAAACUCCUUUUGUUGGGGAAGAACCAUGACGGUACCCAACGAAUAAGCACCGGUUAACUCCGUGCCAGCAGCCGCGGUAAUACGGAGGGUGCAAGCGUUACUCGGAAUCACUGGGCGUAAAGGACGCGUAGGCGGAUUAUCAAGUCUUUUGUGAAAUCUAACAGCUCAACUGUUAAACUGCUUGAGAAACUGAUAAUCUAGAGUGAGGGAGAGGCAGAUGGAAUUGGUGGUGUAGGGGUAAAAUCCGUAUAGAUCACCAGGAAUACCCAUUGCGAAGGCGAUCUGCUGGAACUCAACUGACUCUAAUGCGUGAAAGCG